GUACUUGAAGUUCCCCCCUUGGCCCUGCAUCUCGGCUUGGGGUGUGUUGCCAUCUCAGCCAGAUAGAUGGCUGUGACUCAGGAGCCUGGGAGUCCAUUUGAGCGCCUCCCCUGGGACACCUGCCGGGCUCCAGCACAGGUUGGGGCUCUCCCCAAAACAGACCUGAAUCGAAGGCUUGGGCGCUGGCAGUGUUUUAAAAGGUGACUCCAGGAAGCAGAAGUGAGAAGUGGGAAGACUGCGACCAGGGGGAGAAAAGCCAACGGAACACAUGAAAAGAUGCUCAGCAUCCCUGAUCAUCAGAGAAAUGCAAAUGAAAACUACAAUGAGAUAUCAUCCCAAACCUGUCAGAAUGGCCAUCAUCAAUAAAUCAACAAACAGCAAGUGCUGGCGAGGAUGUGGAGAAAAGGGAGCCCUUCUGCACUGUGUUUGGGAAUGCGGCCUGGUGCAGCCCCUGUGCAAAGCAGCGUGGAGGUACCUCUUUGGUUUCUUAUAGAGAAAACAUCCCUAAAAUGUGGACUUAGCCUAUGAUUGAGGCACAUGAAAGGAACAGAAGGGAGUGGCCCCGCCUGAUCUCUGGGUUUUGGAUGACGUCAGUUCUACCCAGGUUACUAGGGAAAGAACAGAAUCAUUUCCUCGGCAGGCGUUAAGAGAAUUUGUUUAGACAGAUCCAGGAAAUACAAUCUGAAAACUCGGGGUUUAUCUCACCCUCCACUGUCAAGUUAGA
Artibeus jamaicensis (Jamaican fruit-eating bat) is the source of this 724-nucleotide long non-coding RNA. RefSeq lists it as uncharacterized. The record is from RefSeq and is a predicted model, not a curated record. NCBI's taxonomy places the organism in Eukaryota, Metazoa, Chordata, Mammalia, Chiroptera, Phyllostomidae. The transcript has 3 exons.